Molecule: non-coding RNA, 253 nt
Filed under: Mediterraneibacter torques
Lineage: Bacteria; Bacillati; Bacillota; Clostridia; Lachnospirales; Lachnospiraceae
Description: Ruminococcus torques T-box sequence
Rfam family: T-box leader
About the family: Uncharged tRNA acts as the effector for transcription antitermination of genes in the T-box leader family. T-boxes are found upstream of many aminoacyl-tRNA synthetase genes and some amino acid biosynthetic genes usually in Gram-positive bacteria.
Source: RNAcentral
GCAAAAACAUGGAAGAGGAAUAGUAGGAGUGUAUCGUAUUCAGAGAACUGCCGGUCGGUGCGAGGCAGAAACGUAAACUGUGAACUCACCUCGGAGUUCUUUCGUUGAACUUCAAGUAGACGAAAGCGGGAAUUCCCGUUAUAGAAUGAAUGAGUGCAUUUGGUCGGAUGAGGAUACAGGAACAAAAAAGUUUUCCCGGUCCGGUCGGAUGAACAAGAGUGGUACCACGGAAAUAAGCCUUUUCGUCUCUUGA